CACAUGAAGGCCCAUUCAGCAAAGAAGACAGAUGGCACUCAAAAUGAUGAAAGAUAAUACAGAAUAAACACUGGAUGUUGUAAUACCUUCGAGCAAGAGCUAGCAAAAGCUUAAUUGCUUCUUGGUGGAGCAGGAAGGACUGGAGAAUAAGAUGAUGACAAAUAUCAUCUGGAAGAGGGGAUCUUGCUUUCAUUGCUUUGCUUUUGGAAAUGCUUUUGUAAUUAGUCAAUCAUAAGCCUUAUAACUGGAUAAACUUGUGAGCUAUACAAACUGGGUUUUAAAAAAGUAUACACUUAAAGACCACUGGGAAAUAUCAAUUUGUCUUAAGCAUACAAAGGAAACAAUAUGUGGCUUCCAAUGUGCUCACUGGUUUGUUUAAAGCCCAGUGGAGGACAGACAGCUGGUGACAGCUUUUUUAUAUUUCAGGCUUGAGUAUCACGCUUAAAUGAGGUAGUAUUUGCAAAGCACUUAGCAUUGUUCCUGGAAUAGAAAUGAUGGCUAUUAAUCGUUGUUGCCCCCUGUGGGAAGAGCAUACGAAUAGAUGGCAGCCUGCAGGCCUACGUGCUAUAAUGGCAGAGGGGCCAGGAAAGGUCCCUGACCCUACCAUUCAAGGUUCACUCUUGGGGCUUUGUGCUCUGUUAAAUGCAAAUGCAAAUGCAAAUGCAAAUGUUCCUUAGCAGCUAUUUAUGUCUUGGGAUGAAUAAGUUUAUUAGGUCUUUUCAGAAGAAUGGUGUCAAGAGUAGAAAAAAGGAGCACGUAUAAA
Molecule: long non-coding RNA, 763 nt
Filed under: Homo sapiens (human)
Lineage: Eukaryota; Metazoa; Chordata; Mammalia; Primates; Hominidae
Description: HSALNT0074360
Source: RNAcentral